Molecule: ribosomal RNA, 963 nt
Filed under: microbial mat metagenome
Description: bacterial SSU rRNA
Rfam family: Bacterial small subunit ribosomal RNA
Source: RNAcentral
AGAGUUUGAUCAUGGCUCAGAUUGAACGCUGGCGGCAGGCCUAACACAUGCAAGUCGAGCGGAAACGGCAGUAUUGAAGCUUCGGUGGAUUUACUGGACGUCGAGCGGCGGACGGGUGAGUAACGGCUGGGAACCUGCCCUGACGAGGGGGAUAACCGUUGGAAACGACGGCUAAUACCGCAUAAUGUCUUAGUUCAUUACGAGCUGGGACCAAAGGUGGCCUCUACAUGUAAGCUAUCGCGUUGGGAUGGGCCCAGUUAGGAUUAGCUAGUUGGUAAGGUAAUGGCUUACCAAGGCAACGAUCCUUAGCUGGUUUGAGAGGAUGAUCAGCCACACUGGGACUGAGACACGGCCCAGACUCCUACGGGAGGCAGCAGUGGGGAAUAUUGCACAAUGGGGGAGACCCUGAUGCAGCCAUGCCGCGUGUGUGAAGAAGGCCUUCGGGUUGUAAAGCACUUUCAGCAGUGAGGAAGGUCGUGUACUUAAUACGUGCACGGCUUGACGUUAGCUGCAGAAGAAGCACCGGCUAACUCCGUGCCAGCAGCCGCGGUAAUACGGAGGGUGCGAGCGUUAAUCGGAAUUACUGGGCGUAAAGCGCAUGCAGGCGGUUUGUUAAGUCAGAUGUGAAAGCCCGGGGCUCAACCUCGGAACCGCAUUUGAAACUGGCAGGCUAGAGUCUUGUAGAGGGGGGUAGAAUUUCAGGUGUAGCGGUGAAAUGCGUAGAGAUCUGAAGGAAUACCAGUGGCGAAGGCGGCCCCCUGGACAAAGACUGACGCUCAGAUGCGAAAGCGUGGGUAGCAAACAGGAUUAGAUACCCUGGUAGUCCACGCCGUAAACGCUGUCUACUUGGAGGUUGAGGUUUUAGACUUUGGCUUUCGGCGCUAACGCAUUAAGUAGACCGCCUGGGGAGUACGGCCGCAAGGUUAAAACUCAAAUGAAUUGACGGGGGCCCGCACAAGCGGU